Molecule: ribosomal RNA, 264 nt
Filed under: uncultured archaeon
Lineage: Archaea
Description: partial 16S ribosomal RNA
Rfam family: Archaeal small subunit ribosomal RNA
Source: RNAcentral
AGUCACUGACAUUAGAUACCCCUGUAGUCCAGGGUGUAAACGCUGCAGACUUGGUGUUGGAGGCCCUUUGGGGGCAUUCAGUGCCGGAGAGAAGUUGUUAAGUCUGCUACUUGGGGAGUACGUCCGCAAGGAUGAAGCUUAAAGGAAUUGGCGGGGGAGCACCGCAACGGGAGGAGCGUGCGGUUUAAUUGGAUUCAACACCGUAAACUCACCAGGGAAGACUGUUACAUGAAGGCCGAGAUGAAGACUCUGCUAGAUUUUCAG